RNAcentral lists this ribosomal RNA (385 nucleotides) under uncultured bacterium. RNAcentral's name for it is "bacterial SSU rRNA". It matches the Rfam family "Bacterial small subunit ribosomal RNA", at positions 29 to 443 of the family's 1533-position model. The record is from RNAcentral.
AGCGAACGCUGGCGGCAGGCCUAACACAUGCAAGUCGAACGAUCCUUCGGGAUAGUGGCGGACGGGUGAGUAACACGUGGGAACGUACCUUUAGGUUCGGAACAACACAGGGAAACUUGUGCUAAUACCGAAUGUGCCCUUCGGGGGAAAGAUUUAUCGCCUUUAGAGCGGCCCGCGUUAGAUUAGCUAGUUGGUGAGGUAAAGGCUCACCAAGGCUACGAUCUAUAGCUGGUCUGAGAGGAUGAUCAGCCACACUGGGACUGAGACACGGCCCAGACUCCUACGGGAGGCAGCAGUGGGGAAUCUUGCGCAAUGGGCGAAAGCCUGACGCAGCCAUGCCGCGUGAAUGAUGAAGGUCUUAGGAUUGUAAAGCUCUGUGGGAAGG